RNAcentral lists this transfer-messenger RNA (348 nucleotides) under Acutalibacteraceae. Its description in RNAcentral is "UMGS1532 sp900552605 Standard tmRNA". It matches the Rfam family "transfer-messenger RNA". From Rfam's summary of the family: Bacterial tmRNA, also known as 10Sa RNA or SsrA, is named for its dual tRNA and mRNA-like properties. Its role is to liberate the mRNA from a stalled ribosome. The record is from RNAcentral. RNAcentral also lists the same sequence under 1 other name. Lineage: Bacteria; Bacillati; Bacillota; Clostridia; Eubacteriales.
GGGGGCGUAAAGGUUUCGACAGGAGCGUUGAAAAAAGAGAAGCGAGUAGCGGUGCGGAACCGCUUUAAAAUCCGCAUUUUUAAAAUUAACUGACAACAAUAAAGUUGCACUUGCUGCUUAAUUAAAGCAGCCGUCCGAUUUUGAAGUACCGCGGUCAAAUGAGGGCGUCGAUUAGCGGUGAACGUGAAGCAGAGGAGCGUUCCGACCCUGCUCACGGCUUAGGAACUACCGUAGCUGCAAGCCUGACUAUCGGCGUGCGGUGAGGGGAAGCUUAAAAGACAGUCUGCACUCGGAGAAGCCUUUUGGAGAUACUUUUGGACGCGAGUUCGAUUCUCGCCGCCUCCACCA